This 497-nucleotide ribosomal RNA is filed under the name uncultured bacterium. Its description in RNAcentral is "partial 16S ribosomal RNA". It matches the Rfam family "Bacterial small subunit ribosomal RNA", at positions 28 to 507 of the family's 1533-position model. The record is from RNAcentral.
GAUGAACGCUGGCGGCGUGCCUAAUACAUGCAAGUCGAGCGAACAGACGAGGAGCUUGCUCCUUUGACGUUAGCGGCGGACGGGUGGGUAACACGUAGGUAACCUACCUAUAAGACUGGGAUAACUUCGGGAGACCGGAGCUAAUACCGGAUAAUAUUUCGAACCGCAUGGUUCGAUAGUGAAAGAUGGCUUUGCUAUCACUUAUAGAUGGACCUGCGCCGUAUUAGCUAGUUGGUAAGGUAACGGCUUACCAAGGCAACGAUACGUAGCCGACCUGAGAGGGUGAUCGGCCACACUGGAACUGAGACACGGUCCAGACUCCUACGGGAGGCAGCAGUAGGGAAUCUUCCGCAAUGGGCGAAAGCCUGACGGAGCAACGCCGCGUGAGUGAUGAAGGUCUUCGGAUCGUAAAACUCUGUUAUUAGGGAAGAACAAACGUGUAAGUAACUGUGCACGUCUUGACGGUACCUAAUCAGAAAGCCACGGCUAACUACGUG